GCUCAGAACUUAAAGGAAUUGACGGGGCCGCACAAGCGGAGGAGCAUGUGGUUUAAUUCGAUGAUACGCGAGGAACCUUACCUGGGCUCGAACGUAAGAUGACUGUAGGUGAAAGCUUACAUCUCUUCGGAGCAUUUUACGAGGUGCUGCAUGGUUGUCGUCAGCUCGUGCCGUGAGGUGUCGGGUUAAGUCCCAUAACGAGCGCAACCCCUACCUUUAGUUGCCAUCAGGUUAAGCUGGGGACUCUAAAGGAACUGCCUACGCAAGUAGUGAGGAAGGCGGGGAUGACGUCAAAUCAGCACGGCCCUUACGUCCAGGGCUACACACGUGCUACAAUGGCCGAUACAGAGGGCAGCUACCUGGUGACAGGAUGCAAAUCUCCAAAGUCGGUCUCAGUUCGGAUCGGAGUCUGCAACCCGACUCCGUGAAGUUGGAUUCGCUAGUAAUCGCGCAUCAGCCAUGGCGCGGUGAAUACGUUCCGGGCCUU
RNAcentral lists this ribosomal RNA (487 nucleotides) under uncultured Sphingobacteriales bacterium. RNAcentral's name for it is "bacterial SSU rRNA". It matches the Rfam family "Bacterial small subunit ribosomal RNA", at positions 892 to 1382 of the family's 1533-position model. The record is from RNAcentral. Lineage: Bacteria; Pseudomonadati; Bacteroidota; Sphingobacteriia; Sphingobacteriales.